RNAcentral lists this ribosomal RNA (443 nucleotides) under uncultured bacterium. Its description in RNAcentral is "partial 16S ribosomal RNA". It matches the Rfam family "Bacterial small subunit ribosomal RNA", at positions 338 to 795 of the family's 1533-position model. The record is from RNAcentral.
CCUACGGGAGGCAGCAGUGGGGAAUAUUGGGCAAUGGAGGCAACUCUGACCCAGCAACGCCGCGUGAAUGAUGAAGGUCUUCGGAUUGUAAAGUUCUGUGAUGGGGGAUGAACACAAUGACGGUACCCCAAUAGCAAGCCACGGCUAACUACGUGCCAACAGCCGCGGUAAUACGUAGGUGGCAAGCGUUAUCCGGAAUGACUGGGCGUAAAGGGUGCGUAGGUGGUUUAGUAAGUUGGCGGUGUAAUUCCGGGGCUCAACCUCGGCGCUACCGCCAAAACUAUUAGACUAGAGUGCAGGGGGGGUAAGUGGAAUUCCUAGUGGAGCGGUGGAAUGCGUAGAUAUUAGGAGGAACAUCAGGGGCGAAGGCGACUUACUGGACUGUAACUGACACUGAGGCACGAAAGCGUGGGGAGCAAACAGGAUUAGAUACCCUAGUAGUC